UGAACUGCAGGACACAUGAACACCGACACGUUGAGACGCAUAUUGCGCAUUGCACGACUUAGUGCGAUGUACACAUUUUUGAGUGCCC
RNAcentral lists this ribosomal RNA (88 nucleotides) under Anopheles triannulatus. RNAcentral's name for it is "partial 5.8S ribosomal RNA". Lineage: Eukaryota; Metazoa; Arthropoda; Insecta; Diptera; Culicidae. The record is from RNAcentral.